RNAcentral lists this ribosomal RNA (331 nucleotides) under uncultured bacterium. Its description in RNAcentral is "bacterial SSU rRNA". It matches the Rfam family "Bacterial small subunit ribosomal RNA", at positions 568 to 898 of the family's 1533-position model. The record is from RNAcentral.
CGCGUAGACGGUUUUGUAAGUCAGAUGUGAAAUCCCUGGGCUCAACCUGGGAACUGCAUUUGAAACUGCAUGGCUAGAGUAUGGAAGAGGGAAGUGGAAUUUCCGGUGUAGCGGUGAAAUGCGUAGAUAUCGGAAGGAACACCAGUGGCGAAAGCGACUUCCUGGUCCAAUACUGACGUUCAUGUGCGAAAGCGUGGGGAGCAAACAGGAUUAGAUACCCUGGUAGUCCACGCCAUAAACGAUGACAACUAGAUGUUGGGAGGGUCUGCCUCCCGGUGUCGCAGCUAACGCGUUAAGUUGUCCGCCUGGGGAGUACGGCCGCAAGGUUGAA